RNAcentral lists this ribosomal RNA (457 nucleotides) under uncultured bacterium. RNAcentral's name for it is "partial 16S ribosomal RNA". It matches the Rfam family "Bacterial small subunit ribosomal RNA", at positions 338 to 795 of the family's 1533-position model. The record is from RNAcentral.
CCUACGUGGGGCAGCAGUGGGGAAUAUUGCACAAUGGGGGAAACCCUGAUGCAGCGACGCCGCGUGAGUGAAGAAGUAUUUCGGUAUGUAAAGCUCUAUCAGCAGGGAAGAAACCCACCCUCCGGGGUGCCUGACGGUACCUGACUAAGAAGCCCCGGCUAACUACGUGCCAGCAGCCCCGGUAAUACGUAGGGGGCAAGCGUUAUCCGGAUGUACUGGGUGGAAAGGGAGCGUAGGUGGCAAGGCACGUCAGAUGUGAAAACCCGGGGCCCAACCCCGGGAGUGCAUAUGAAACUGUCUGGCUAGAGUGAAGGAGAGGUAAGUGGAAUUCCUAGUGUAGCGGUGAAAUGCAUAGAUAUUAGGAGGAACACCAGUGGCGAAGGCGGCUUACUGGACUGUAACUGACACUGAGGCUCGAAAGCGUGGGGAGCAAACAGGAUUAGAUACCCGGGUAGUC